Molecule: ribosomal RNA, 512 nt
Filed under: uncultured bacterium
Lineage: Bacteria
Description: bacterial SSU rRNA
Rfam family: Bacterial small subunit ribosomal RNA
Source: RNAcentral
GAUUCUGGCUCAGGAUGAACGCUAGCUACAGGCUUAACACAUGCAAGUCAGGGGCAGCAUGAUCAAGCUUGCUUUGAUUGAUGGCGACCGGCGCACGGGUGAGUAACGCGUAUCCAACUUCCCCAUAGUAGGGUAUAGCCCGGCGAAAGUCGGAUUAAUCCCCUAUGUUGUUUGAAGCGGACAUCUAAUUCAAACCAAAGAUUCAUCGCUAUGGGAUGGGGAUGCGUCUGAUUAGGUUGCAGGCGGGGUAACGGCCCACCUGGCCGACGAUCAGUAGGGGUUCUGAGAGGAAGGUCCCCCACACUGGUACUGAGACACGGACCAGACUCCUACGGGAGGCAGCAGUGAGGAAUAUUGGUCAAUGGGCGCGAGCCUGAACCAGCCAAGUAGCGUGCCAGGAUGACGGCCCUACGGGUUGUAAACUGCUUUUAUGCGGGGAUAAAGUGCGGCACGUGUGCCGUUUUGCAGGUACCGCAUGAAUAAGGACCGGCUAAUUCCGUGCCAGCCGCGGC